This 238-nucleotide long non-coding RNA is filed under the name Ananas comosus (pineapple). RNAcentral describes it as "long non-coding RNA (ACOM_LNC043655)". The record is from RNAcentral. Lineage: Eukaryota; Viridiplantae; Streptophyta; Magnoliopsida; Poales; Bromeliaceae.
ACAUCCAAGACAUUUCGUACAAACACAAAGUCAUAAUACAUAUUGUCGUAUUACAUAUUAUCACAAAUUAACUGACAUGUUAAACUCCUAAUCAUCUAAUACACCCAAAUCACAUAAAUAUCUUCAUGAAUAACAUUGCUGCUAAUACAAACGGUAACCACAAAUAGAACUUAAUCCUCCAAAAUUCAUUGUGCAUUGCAAAUCUUAGCUCUUUUAUCUCAUUACUUAAUCUUAUAUC